AUUAUGAUUUUUAACAAAACAUAUUUAAUUAAAACUUACUAUUAUUGUUUAACGGGAGCAAUUUGUAUUCUCCAUUUUUUAUCGACACAAGUAGCUUAGGUCGUUUGGCGCUAAGGAUAAACAAAAAAAAAGAUGAAUGUGUGAAAAAAGUCACAUCUUUCAUUGCACGGUAAAACACACCUGUCCAUGUUGGAAGUAUCACGUUUAUAAAGCGUUGUGAGCUGAACCAGAUAAUCGGGACACCGUGGCUCCGGCUGUACACGCAGGAACAGGUUCCCUCACGCUUGUUCCAUGCAGGAGUUCUAAACAAUUGGAAUUGCCUCAGCACACAAGCACAAACACAGAAAAAGUUCUAAAUAAACCAACACCGGCCUUACAAACAAAAGGAGCGUGUGUGCAGCGGAGAUGAGAUGAAGAGGAGUAGAAGAAGAAAACACAACCGAACCGAACCAAAGAAUAGCCGAACUGUGCGAAGGCGAAAAGCGAAGUAUAAACAAAAUGAGCCCGAGAGGAACAACCGGGACAACCUAGGAGAAAGAAGAAGGAAGAGGGUGAGGGAAAAAAGAUCGGUGGAAAGAGGGGGGAGAAAAAAGAGUCCGCCAAUUUUUUUGCACUGUGGUAGGCCACUCAGUAAUUUUUGGACAUUGCAUUACACCGUCAAUAAAAAAUAUACACCACUUGAAUGACAUCUGGCCAUAUCUGUCAAAAUCGGUCUAACCAUAUCGUUAAAAAGUCGGACUAUCGGCAGUCCGACGGGAAGACGAAAAGUUUUACCGAAAGACGUCUUUUGGCUGUCAUAUGCAGCCUGGGCGUACAGUAUCUCAUUGCGGCGGAACCUUACAAAUGUUAUUGCGCGGUCGAGUAAGGAAACGCGCAUCGGAUCGAUGGAAGAAAGGAGUAAGAACGAGGGGGGAGAAGAAGAAGCACAGAGAAAAACGCUGCACAUUCACUCAUACAUUCUUACAGCAGCAGGCAAUUCGCGAGAACAUGAAAUCGAGAGAGUAUAUUUUAACGCUCGCGAAUGAGUGCAAGCAGGUGCGGUAUAGAAGAUAGAGCAAGACAGCCCAGUUUUUGUUCAAGCUUGGUCCAAAAUGUUUCCUUGGGUAAUUCACUUACUUCUCAUUUCCUUCCCUUUCCCCUUCUCCUAGAACUCAUACAAAUGGAAUUCUAGAGAGAAGUGGAGAAGAGGGGAGGAAUCAGCUUUUAGCUCUCUGUCAAAAAAUAAGUCCAAAAUUGUCUGCCUUUGGGUACCAGUUUGGGUACUGAGAUAGGGCCCCAUCUCAGGUCCAUAGUUUUACCCAUUCAUCGCGUUUUGGACGUUUGGGUGGUAGAGGAGAAGCGGCAGGAAGGUAGGGACGAACAUCCAGCUUGCUAGCGCAGCACGUGGGAGCAGCGAGAGGGAGGCAGAGCUGGAUGAAAGGAAGAACGAGGAGAGAAGACAGGUAAGACGGGCACGUGUGUAUCCCGCACCGGUAUUAGGCAGUGUGAAUUGUGUGAGUAUGUACAUAUGUAUGUGUGAGUAAGAAGGUGAAAUAAAGAGCGUAAGCAUGUGCGGAAUCGACAAAUGAGAGUAAGAGUCUUUGUAGGGAGAAUGGAGAGAAUGAAAGAAAUUGAGAAGGGAUGUUGCAUACAUAAACCAAAUGUAUGAUACACGCAGUCGCACGGUUGCAAAAACCUUCUCUAUAGUUCUGCUAUCGAGAAUGAUUUGACCGCGCUAUACCCAACCAGCAUUAUCGCGCGAUUUUUAUGUGUAUCUAUCAUUUUUCUCAUUCUAACAUUCAAACAAUUUUUCAUUCUGCCUCGCUCUUCUGGGUGUUGGUCUGUAUUUGCUUGCGACUUGGCUGUGUCGCAUCAACGAUUCGCAUGUUUCAUUUAGCUCAUCCCUUUCCAUCGUUGGAGAGAAACUCUUGCGUCUCGCUUUUCUGGGACUUGUCCAAAUUCGCUUGCUACACCAAUCGUUCACGCAAGCGUUCUCCUCUCGCCCGCUCUUUGUAUCAUUGUACAGGUACUCCCCGAUAUACGCUAUCAAUGCGUACCGGAGGCAAUAGCGUAUCUCGAAUAUACAAUAGCGAAAGUCGAAUUUCGAGGUUUUCAGUCAAAUUAUAACUAAUAUCCGUAUAACUUUGCAUGAAGUGGUAGGUUUUAGCCACUUAAUUAGUUAUUUGAUCUAAUUUCAACUGAAUUUUUCAAUUUUAUACCAUUUGAAAUGGUUUUUAAUAUUCAACCAAAAUGGAAUUUAUUUUGCAUUUGACAUUCGAUUUCUAAAAUUAGUACUACUUGUUCAAAGAACCGUCAAAUUUAGAAAAAAAGCGUAUAGCGAAAUCGUGUAUAUCGAGUAUGGCGUAUAUCGGGGAAUACCUGUAUAGGAACACGAGGAAGGCGCUGCUUCGCGUUCACAUGAAAAUGUGGUAGUGUGAAAUCAAGUUUGCAAGCGGUAGGACGCGUCGGUGUGUGUCCGUUUUUUCUCUCGUGAAACCAGUACGGAAAAACUAUUUGAAAUCGUAACACACGCACGAACGGAAGUGAGCACGGACCACAACAGAAGCAAUAUUCAAUUGGUUGGAGUGCCGAAAACAGAACAGGAGAGGAAAGAAGGCAGGAACGAUUCGAUCCUCCAACGUGCUAGCGCCUGGUAGAGGAGAAGCGGCAGGAAGGUAGAGACGAACAUCCAGCUCGCUAGUGCAGCACGUGGGAUCAGCAAGAGGGAAGCAAGCAGGACGCGUACACACCAUUCGACGAAGGCAAAGCUGGAGGAAAGGAAGAACGAGGAGAGAAGGCAGGCAAGACGGGUACGUGUGUAUCCCGCACCGGUUUUAGGCAGUGUGAAUUGUGUGAGUAUGUAAAUAUGUAUGUGCGAGUAAGAAGGUAAAAUAAAGAGCGUAAGCAUGUGCAGAAUGGACAAAAGAGAGUAAGAGUCUUUGUAGGGAGAAUGGAGAGAAUGAAAGAAAUUGAACAAUAAUGUAGUAUACAGAAACUAGAUGUAUGAUACACGCUGUCGCACCGUUGCAGAGACGUGCUCUUUAGUGCUGCUAAUGAGCACGAUUUGAGAACGUUUUGAGCCCGUUUUUUCUCAUACAAAAUUUUAAAAUGUCGCGCGAUAAUGUCGGUUGGGUAGAGAACAUUUCUUCAGUACAAAAAAAAACGGUUGCAACGUGACAAUGUCGGUUGGGCAGUGGUUUGUGGCGUUAUCAGAUGUGUUCCACGAAAGAAUUUAUUUUUGAAGAAGGUAAGCUAAUCACUAUACAUAUCGUUCAAUUUUUUCCACAAUCAAGAUUUAGUUAUGAACAGGCAUGUCUAGAAUAAUAUAAAAACAUAUUUUUAAUUAAAAACGUUGACCUAACUCUACAAAAUGCAUGCCUUCAAUCGAUG
Molecule: long non-coding RNA, 3369 nt
Organism: Anopheles coluzzii
Lineage: Eukaryota; Metazoa; Arthropoda; Insecta; Diptera; Culicidae
Exons: 3
Source: RefSeq, a predicted model, not a curated record